GUAGGUGGCAAGCGUUGUCCGGAAUUAUUGGGCGUAAAGCGCGCGCAGGCGGUUCUUUAAGUCUGAUGUGAAAGCCCACGGGCUCAACCGUGGAGGGUCAUUGGAAACUGGAGAACUUGAGUACAGAAGAGGAAAGCGGAAUUCCACGUGUAGCGGUGAAAUGCGUAGAGAUGUGGGGGAACACCAGUGGCGAAGGCGGCUUUCUGGUCUGUAACUGACGCUGAGGCGCGAAAGCGUGGGGAGCAAACAGGAUUAGAUACCCUGGUAGUCCACGCCGUAAACGAUGAGUGCUAAGUGUUAGGGGGUUUCCGCCCCUUAGUGCUGCAGCUAACGCAUUAAGCACUCCGCCUGGGGAGUACGGCCGCAAAGGCUG
This 373-nucleotide ribosomal RNA is filed under the name uncultured organism. Its description in RNAcentral is "partial 16S ribosomal RNA". It matches the Rfam family "Bacterial small subunit ribosomal RNA", at positions 527 to 896 of the family's 1533-position model. The record is from RNAcentral.